RNAcentral lists this ribosomal RNA (689 nucleotides) under Paraplatyarthrus pallidus. RNAcentral describes it as "eukaryotic LSU rRNA". It matches the Rfam family "Eukaryotic large subunit ribosomal RNA", at positions 92 to 616 of the family's 3401-position model. The record is from RNAcentral. Lineage: Eukaryota; Metazoa; Arthropoda; Malacostraca; Isopoda; Paraplatyarthridae.
ACUGAAAAGGGAUGAGCCCAGCGCGUAGCCUGCAGGCUCGCCCCACUCGAUGGGUCACGAGCCUGCGAGGGAUGCCGCGUAUGGGAGGGAUCAAGAGGGUGCUAGACUCGGCCUGAAGUAUUUAUUGAAUGUUGUCACACUGCCCACAGAGGGUGUAAGGCCCGUAAGGCCGGCGUCUAGAUUACCUCGCUGGUUCCUCUCGAGAGUCGGGUUGCUUGAAAGUGCAGCCCUAAGUAGGUGGUAAACUCCAUCUAAGGCUAAAUAUUCCCACGAGACCGAUAGCGAACAAGUACCGCGAGGGAAAGUUGAAAAGAACUUUGAAAAGAGAGUUCAAUAGAGCGUGAAACUACCACGAGGCUAAAGCGAGUGAGCGUACGUAUCCGAACGGUUUGAUUCAGUCCGCCCGAGCACGAUGAGCAGUGGGGGGUCGUAAUACGUCAUUAACGGAUCUCCCGAAAGGAUCCGAGCUAUACGCUCGGCCUCUAGGGUGACCGGCGUAUCUCCCGCUUUGCUCUGUAGGGGGACGCAUUUCCGGCCGAAGUAGGGCGUCGCGGCCGUUUCGGGGGUGUCUAAGACACGGGGGUCUCGGAAUCCGCAUCUUCUCGUUCCGGCGCGCUCUACCGCCCCUCCCCGGAGGAGCGGCAUCGCGCCGGGGUCGCGAGUCGAGCGGGGCCGCCUCGUUGAUCUGA